RNAcentral lists this ribosomal RNA (492 nucleotides) under uncultured bacterium. RNAcentral describes it as "partial 16S ribosomal RNA". It matches the Rfam family "Bacterial small subunit ribosomal RNA", at positions 29 to 507 of the family's 1533-position model. The record is from RNAcentral.
AGUGAACGCUGGCGGUAGGCCUAACACAUGCAAGUCGAACGGCAGCACAGUAAGAGCUUGCUCUUACGGGUGGCGAGUGGCGGACGGGUGAGGAAUACAUCGGAAUCUACUUUUUCGUGGGGGAUACCGUGGGGAACCUUACGCUAAUACGCCAUACGACCUACGGGUGAAAGCAGGGGAUCUUCGGACCUUGCGCGAUUGAAUGAGCCGAUGUCGGAUUAGCUAGUUGGCGGGGUAAAGGCCCACCAAGGCGACGAUCCGUAGCUGGUCUGAGAGGAUGAUCAGCCACACUGGAACUGAGACACGGUCCAGACUCCUACGGGAGGCAGCAGUGGGGAAUAUUGGACAAUGGGCGCAAGCCUGAUCCAGCCAUACCGCGUGGGUGAAGAAGGCCUUCGGGUUGUAAAGCCCUUUUGUUGGGAAAGAAAAGCAGCAGGUUAAUACCCCGCUGUUCUGACGGUACCCAAAGAAUAAGCACCGGCUAACUUCGUG